UUUUCAUCAGACAAUCUGUGUGAGCACUGCAAAGUACGCUUCUUUAAGGUAAGGAGGUGAUCCAACCGCAGGUUCCCCUACGGUUACCUUGUUACGACUUCACCCCAGUCAUGAAUCACAAAGUGGUAAGCGCCCUCCCGAAGGUUAAGCUACCUACUUCUUUUGCAACCCACUCCCAUGGUGUGACGGGCGGUGUGUACAAGGCCCGGGAACGUAUUCACCGUGGCAUUCUGAUCCACGAUUACUAGCGAUUCCGACUUCAUGGAGUCGAGUUGCAGACUCCAAUCCGGACUACGACGCACUUUAUGAGGUCCGCUUGCUCUCGCGAGGUCGCUUCUCUUUGUAUGCGCCAUUGUAGCACGUGUGUAGCCCUGGUCGUAAGGGCCAUGAUGACUUGACGUCAUCCCCACCUUCCUCCAGUUUAUCACUGGCAGUCUCCUUUGAGUUCCCGGCCGGACCGCUGGCAACAAAGGAUAAGGGUUGCGCUCGUUGCGGGACUUAACCCAACAUUUCACAACACGAGCUGACGACAGCCAUGCAGCACCUGUCUCACGGUUCCCGAAGGCACAUUCUCAUCUCUGAAAACUUCCGUGGAUGUCAAGACCAGGUAAGGUUCUUCGCGUUGCAUCGAAUUAAACCACAUGCUCCACCGCUUGUGCGGGCCCCCGUCAAUUCAUUUGAGUUUUAACCUUGCGGCCGUACUCCCCAGGCGGUCUACUUAACGCGUUAGCUCCGGAAGCCACGCCUCAAGGGCACAACCUCCAAGUAGACAUCGUUUACGGCGUGGACUACCAGGGUAUCUAAUCCUGUUUGCUCCCCACGCUUUCGCACCUGAGCGUCAGUCUUUGUCCAGGGGGCCGCCUUCGCCACCGGUAUUCCUCCAGAUCUCUACGCAUUUCACCGCUACACCUGGAAUUCNNNNNNNNNNNNNNNNNNNNCUCAAGCCUGCCAGUUUCGAAUGCAGUUCCCAGGUUGAGCCCGGGGAUUUCACAUCCGACUUGACAGACCGCCUGCGUGCGCUUUACGCCCAGUAAUUCCGAUUAACGCUUGCACCCUCCGUAUUACCGCGGCUGCUGGCACGGAGUUAGCCGGUGCUUCUUCUGCGGGUAACGUCAAUUGCUGCGGUUAUUAACCACAACACCUUCCUCCCCGCUGAAAGUACUUUACAACCCGAAGGCCUUCUUCAUACACGCGGCAUGGCUGCAUCAGGCUUGCGCCCAUUGUGCAAUAUUCCCCACUGCUGCCUCCCGUAGGAGUCUGGACCGUGUCUCAGUUCCAGUGUGGCUGGUCAUCCUCUCAGACCAGCUAGGGAUCGUCGCCUUGGUGAGCCGUUACCUCACCAACAAGCUAAUCCCAUCUGGGCACAUCUGAUGGCAAGAGGCCCGAAGGUCCCCCUCUUUGGUCUUGCGACGUUAUGCGGUAUUAGCCACCGUUUCCAGUAGUUAUCCCCCUCCAUCAGGCAGUUUCCCAGACAUUACUCACCCGUCCGCCACUCGUCAGCAAAGCAGCAAGCUGCUUCCUGUUACCGUUCGACUUGCAUGUGUUAGGCCUGCCGCCAGCGUUCAAUCUGAGCCAUGAUCAAACUCUUCAAUUUAAAAGUUUGAUGCUCAAUGAAUUAAACUUCGUAAUGAAUUACGUGUUCACUCUUGAGACUUGGUAUUCAUUUUUCGUC
Molecule: ribosomal RNA, 1672 nt
Filed under: Salmonella enterica subsp. enterica serovar Paratyphi A
Lineage: Bacteria; Pseudomonadati; Pseudomonadota; Gammaproteobacteria; Enterobacterales; Enterobacteriaceae
Description: 16S ribosomal RNA
Source: RNAcentral